AAAAAAUUUCAAGGAAUCAUAACUUUCUUGUACGGCAACGAAAUCACGCACGGUCGAAUCCUAUGUAUUCGUAGCGAAGCGCUCUUCAAAUUGAUACCAAACCCAUAUGCUGGAAUCAAACGUGCCCAUAUUUUGAACCCUAGAAGCUUCGACGGCUUUUGUGGGUUUUUCGCCGAUUCCGGCUAACCUCGCCGGAGAUAGGUCUUGACCCAAGAGGGAAUAAUACUCCUCUCUUCAUACGCUUCCAGGAUAUGUAAGUGGAUCUUCCGAAUUUCAAAUUUUAUUUUUCCACAAGUUUGAGAUUUAUUUGUUUAACUUGAAUUUCUGGUGUUCUUGAUGGGGAGUUAUGGUGAUAACAUUGAUUCAAGAGCUUAGUAGCUAAGUGGAGAUUGAUGAACGACUUUGGAGGGCAGGACAAGAACAAGAAAUGGUACAUACUUUAAUUUUAUUGAAUUGUUUGUAGACUUUGGCUAAAAGAGGAAGAAUUAAGCAUGUUAUAGGUAAGCUAACACAUUGAAAUAGAAGUUAAAUAUGAUUCCUUGAUAGUUUGGGAAGUGCUCUGAAAUUGUAAAUUUGAUUAAACGAGUAUGGGUUCUAAAUUACAGGAAACUUAUUCAUUUUGCGGAGAGAAACUAUGUUUCAUGUAGCCUACUUUGGCUCUUGAUUUCCAUGUCCUUGGGAGUUCCUUUUGAUCUAAUAUUAUGUGUUUUGGAAAUAAACAUGUCCAUGAUCAAAACCCAUCUGAUUUCACUUAACUGCGUUGAGUCUUGAUAGAUUAAAAUCAUGUCCAAAGUUGAGUCACAGGGCUGCCAGGCAGCAACAAGUUCUGUAAUUCCAGUUUUGGAACUUCAUUUCAUAGUUAUAACUUACCAUUCAAAGUUCCGUUUGCUACCAAUAUUUUAUGAUUUCAAAGUGCACAAAACAAGCCUCCAAAAACCAUUUAAGUUUGUACCAUUUGGUUCAGGUUUGAGCUUUCAAAGUAACUUGGUUGAUCGAAGCAGUUUUUAUGCAACUUUUGUGGAGAAAAUGAGUGUUUAUUUCUACAUUAUCCAAUUCUUCUCCGAGUUUUUCCUUUAAAGUGCUUUUGCUUUGUACUAGUAUCGUUAUUUGAAGUAUAUAUUGUACUAAAAUAAUGUAUAUGUUACGUGGUAAAAAAAUGGAUAUAUGAUAUUACUUUGGCUGCUAGUUGAUUUAUUUCAAAUGGAAGAAAGGAUCAAGGAAUAACUACUUCACUUGUGGUCAACCUGUAGCUUGCAUAUAAGGGUAAACAUUUCAAAUUUCUUCAUUCUUCUAAUGACUGAAUAUAGGUUGUUAUAUACAAAAUUAAUAUGGUUUAUGGUUCAGAAAAGUAGAAAGCCUGAAUUAGAGCGAAACCCAAUGGCUCCUCCUAUUUUGGUUCAUUGCGUUAUAUAUAUACAACAUGAUAGGUGAUUAGUAUAAUAGGUAUUUACAAUAAGAAGUAUAUACCUCUUGGUUUUUAUGUUUGGAGGUCGAGAUACAAAAGGAUGUAUAAGACAUCUGGUUAUCAUUUAAUUAAUUUCAAAGGAUAGCAUACUUUUAUCUAACUUUUACAUUUUCCAUGCUACUAAAAUUGUACUUGUUCAAAUGUAUGGGUGACUAGAUAUUGGUAGUCAAGAGGAAUCGGCAAAAUGUAUAUUUGGAUGUGUAUUGAACUUGUUGUGAAGUGCUUGUUGAAUUGUUUGAUGAAAUGUGAUUUGACGUGCAUAAUUGAAUUGUAGUUUGAUUCACAUGAUUGGUAUAGUGUGAUGAAAUGUGAGGGCUAGAAGUGGACCGUUAACCAUUGUGAUGGGGAUUUGUUGCUUCGAUAUUGUUUCAUUUUCCUCUACGUUGAUUAGUUCUAAAUUUAGUAAUUGUGUCUAACUUCCCUUUGUUGAGCUUUUGUAAAUUAAGUAACCUUUGCUUGUCUCAUUUCUUUGAGUCGCCGUACAUUAUGGUGUUGGCCUUCCACGAUUCCGUUGAGUGACGGUCCGGAAUCGUAUCCACUCGGAUUCUGUUGAGAGAUGGUCCGGAAUCCCUCCUACUUCGUGAUUCCAUUAAGUGAUGGUCCGGAAUCAUAUCCACUUGGAUUCUGUUGAGAGAUGGUCCGGAAUCCCUCCUACUUCGCGAUUCAGUUGAGUGAUGGUCCGGAGUCGUAUCCACUCGGAUUCUGUUGAGAGAUGGUCCGGAAUCAUUUCUACUUCGCGAUUUCGUUGAGUGAUGUUCCGGAAUCGUAUCUCAUUUGGGUUUCAUUUAGUGGUUGUUAUGCAUUGUACUCCGCGAUUCCGUUGAGUGAUGGUCCGGAAUCGUAUCCACUCAGAUUCUGUUGAGAGAUGGUCCGGAAUCCCUCCUGCUUCGUGAUUUCGUUGAGUGAUGGUCCAGGAUUGUAUUCACCUUGGGUUUUAUUAAGCUUGGAUUGAGAUAGCUUUAGAGAUGUAGGCUUCGGUCAAACUAUGUCACUCUAGCCUUGCAUUUCGAUGAGUGGUAUGUGAUAUUAAUGAUUAUGAUGGUUGGCAUUAUUGUUUGAUGUGAUUACGGAAUGAUGUUGGUUAUGGUUAUCGUAAUUAUGAUAUGCUUUGUGAUAUAUGGUUGAAGCAUAGCAAUUUAUGUGAUGAUUAUUCGAUUGUAGUGAAAUAGUGAACUACGAAUGGCUUGAUCCCUAUAGAGGGUAUGUAAGCAAUCUAACGAGGAGGUUAGAUGCAGCCAUAAAGUAAACAAAAAAUUACUUUGCAAUUUAAUUCUCGAGUUGUGAUUUGCCAUAUCCCGGAGGUGGGGUAUGUGAGAUAUACGAAUAUUUGAUGACGUCACGUGUCGAUUCUGAACGUAUAUCAGGAUUGGAGCAUGACACAUCUACUGUUUCUUGUGCUGAUCUUCUGUGUCCACAAUAUCUAGUUGAAUGGAAACUUGGAGGUCAUAACAAAAUAUAUGGUUUUUAUCACAAAUAGUUCUUAAAUUUGACUCACACCAUUAAAAUAGUUUCUGAAAUUAAAAAUCGAUCAAUGUAGUCAGUGAAAAUAGGUGUCACAAAUCAAUGUGGUCAUUCUGCCAUAACUCUGUCUAAAUUUCUGUUAUAUGUUGAUGUGGCACAUAAAUGGGUCUAACAAGAUUUAUAGGUUUUUUUUUAUCACAAAUGAUUCUUAAAAUUGACCCACACCAUCAAGAUGAUCCCUAAAAUUGAAAAUCGAUCAAUAUCCCUUAAAAUAGGUGUCACAAAUCAAAGUGGUCCUUCCAUAAUUCUGUAAAAAAAAUUGUUAUUUGUUGAUGUGGGUUUAAUAAUUUUUAAUUGUCAAAAUACCUUUUUGCACAAGGGAUUAUCCGAAGGCAGAGCUCACCGUUCUCUGCAUCACCAAGGUCAUUAAGAGAGCGUCCAACAAGCUCUCCAAGUUAAGGUUAUGAGGUUGUCGAUCAUCUGAAUAUUAAUGGUGAUGUCAUAGGAAUCAUUCUAAUCCAAGCCGUCACCAAAGGUGGUCUCCAUCCUGGGGUAAGGCUAGCCGACAUUCACCUCUCCCAGACUCUGCGUAAAGCGGGGGCCUUGUGCACUGGGUACGACCUUUUUUAAAAAGAGAUGAUGAAGGUUACCAUAGAUGGAGGUAGACGAGUGUGGGUGACAAACCGAGGUUAUAGCGAGACUGAGUUUUUGGUUGACAACUUUUUUAAUUAUUAAAUUAUUAAACCUAUUUCUAAUUUAUUUUUAAGUUAAUUAGACUUGUGGGACCCAUUUACAUGUCACAUCAACACAUAACAAAAUUUUUGAAAGAAUUGUGAUAGAAGUACCACUUUAAUUUGAGACACCUAUUCUAGGACUACAUUGAUUUGCAACACCUAUUUUCAGGGACUGCAUUGAUCGAUUUUCAAUCUCAUACUCUUUUGACGGUGUGAGUCAAUUUUAGGGACCAUUUGUGAUAAAAAUGACUUGUGGGACCCAUUUAUGUGUCACAUCAGCACAAACAUAAUUUUUUAUAGAAUUGUGAUAGAAAGACCACAUUGAUUAACGACACUUAUUUUCAGGGACUACAUUGAUCGAAUUUCAAUUUAAGGGACCAUUUUGAUGGUAUAGGUCAAUUUUAGAGACCAUUUGUGUAAAAACUGCAAUAUAUAUAUAUAUAUAUAUAUAUAUAUAUAUAUAUAUAUAUAUAUAUAUAAAUUUCUUGAAACCAGCACCAUCUUGUUAAUAAACCAGAGAAAGCUUAAUUCAUAAGAAACUCUUAAGAGAUGAGAGAUAGAUAUUGGACAGAGAAACUAGAGAGAGAAUUGUAAUAACUGUUUUAUGUUUUUCUCUAUUGAACAAUGAUACCUUGACAAUAAUUACAACUCAGUAUAUAUACUUUUACACCCACACAACUUCCUUAAGAUACUAUUGCUAACGUAAUGACACUUGUCAAAAUCUUGUCUACUUAUACACACUAUCAUCCCCCCUUAAACUCAUGCUGUGAACAACCAAGCAUGAGAUUUGAACAAUUAAAACUAAAUUGAGGAGAACAAAGCCCUUUUGUAAAGACAUAUUGAUCUGCAGAAUUAACAAACUGUAACAGAAUGGUGCCACGUUGAACUCUGUCACGCACAAAGUGACAAUCAAUUUCAAUAUGCUUGGACUUGGAGUGAAAAACAGGAUUUGUAGCAAGAGCCAUUUCUGAGAUGUUAUCACAGUGAAGCAAUGGUGUGUCAAGAACCGGCAUAUAGAGAUCCUGUAACAACUGUUGAAUCCAAACUAUCUUAGCAGUAGUAGUGGCCAUUGCCCUAUAUUCAGCCUCAGUAGAAGACCUGCUCAUUGUAUGUUGCUUCUUGGAGCUCCAUGAAAUUGGAUUAGACCCGAGAAAAAUAACAAACCCAGUAGUAGAACGACGAUCAUUAGGGUCAUCGGCCUAAUCGGCAUCUGUAUAGGCUCGUAAGUGAAGUGAACCAGGUCGAAAACAGAGCCCCAAGUGCAUAGAACCUUUACGAUAUCUUAAGAUGCGUUUCACAGCAGCUAAAUGAGACUCAAGAGGAGAGUGCACGAAUUGACAAACCUGAUUGACUGAGAAAGCAAUAUCAGGGGGAGUAAAAGUAAGAUAUUGCAAAGCUCCUACAAGACUUCUAUAGGAACCAGGAUCUGAAACUGGAGAACUACCAUGUGUAAGUAAUUUCUGAUUUGGGUGACAGGGAGUAAGACAUGGCUUGCAAUCCAACAUAUUUUCUUUUUGCAACAACGCCUUCACAUAUGUGGAUUGAUGAACAAAUAAUCCUUGAGAUUGAUACUCAAUCUGCAACCCAAGAAAAAAAUGUAAAAGUCCCAAAUCCUUCAUGUCAAACUCAAUAGUAAGUUGAGAAAUCACUGAUUGAAUAACAGCAUCACUAGUACUAGUAAGAAUGAUAUCAUCCACGUAAAGCAAAAGAAUCACAACUGAACUAUCAAUGGUCUUAACAAAUAAGGAAGGAUCGGCAUAAGAAGUAUUGAAACCCAACUGAAUAAGGAACUUGGUAAACCUGUCAUGCCAGGCACGAGGAGCCUCUUUCAAACCAUACAAAGAUCGUUUCAAUUUGCAAACAUAAUCUGGAUGAUCAUGGUCCACAAAACCUUGAGGUUGAGACAUAUAAACUUCUUCAUCAAGAAAGCCAUGAAGAAAAAGCAUUCUUGACAUCUAAUUAUUUUAACUUCCAACCAUGAGUAGCAACCAAGGACAAAACCAAUCGAACAGUGGUUGGUUUCACAACUGGACUAAAUGUCUCAUAAUAGUCCAAACCAGCUUCUUGAGAGAACCCUUUUACCACUAAUCGAGCCUUAUAUCGAGCAACAGAUCCAUCAGGAUGUUUCUUGAUCUUGUAAACCCACUUACAACCCACAAGAUUCUUGUGAGGAGGCAAAGGAACCAAACUCCAAGUAUGUUGUUGUAGAAGAGCAUUCAUCUCUUCCUUCAUGGCAACUUGCCAGUGAGAGAGCUUAGAAGCUACUUUAAAGGACUGGGGUUCAAUAAGAGAAGUAGACUCAGAGGUAACAUAAGCAUGAAAAACUCUCUUUUUGAAGAUACCAGACUUAGACCGAGUUUGCAUAGGAUGAGAAUUAAUAGUGACAGGUUGCAGAUCAGGAACCUGAGAUAUUGAAGUAUCAGGAUUGUCUUCUGAAAAAUACACUGAACAGUCCAGAGCAUUAUCUUCUUGUAUACUUAGUGAACCAACAGCUGCAGAACUAGAAGAGACAAGGCCACCACGUAUAGGAGAUAGUGAAGGACAAGACUGAGUAACGUUUGAGACACCAGGAACAAUAGGAUAGGGAAUGGGAAUGGAAAGAAGGUUGUUUUGACUAAAUGUAUUAGGGUGAACCACAGAUGAUAGUGAAUAUGGUAAAGAGAUAAAAGACUAAGAAAGUGAUGUAGGAGACUAAUUAACACCUGGAAAUUUGGUUUCAUCAAAAAUAACAUGUCUACAAACAAUGAGCUUGUUUUUCUGUUGGAACAAAACAAAUGUAUCCCUUAUACUGAGCAGCAUAUCCGAGAAAGAAACAUUCAGUGGUCUUAGAUUCUAAUUUAUUAGAUCUAUAAGGUUUCAUAGAUGGGUAACAAGCACUCCCAAAAAUCCUCAAAUGAUUUAGUGUAGGUGGUGAGUGAUAUAAAACCUCAAAAUGAGAUUGCAUAUGCAAAAGAAUACUCACCCCCCCCCCCAUCACUUUGUACAAUUUUAACUUUAGCAUAAAAAAAAUGAGAUACAAAAGCUAAGAAUUGAACAAACACAGUAAACACACCAGCUUUAUUCAUUAAUGGGAAAAUUCAUGUAUACCUUGUACACUCAUCUAUGAAUGACACAUAAUACCUAAACCCUUCUAAAGACACAUAAGAAGAUGGACCCCAUACAUCGGUAUGAAUUACUUCAAAUGGAACAACAGAUUUGGAAGCAAUAACAGGGAAAGGCAAUUUGGUAAACUUGCCUUGCAAGCAAGCAGUACAAGGUUUGGGUUUGAAUUACAAGAGAAAGGAAUUUUAGACCUACUUAAUGCUGCAUUAACCACUGGAUUAGCAGGGUGUCCUAACCUGCAAUGCCAAGGCUCAGUAGAUACUUUUUGUCCCAAAAAAGUUGCAUGAUGAAAAUGAAGAGGCUUGGGAGGUUUUAAAACUGCAGUUCUUGUAACUCAGCAGUUCUUGGUAAAGCAUUUGUCCUGUGGCCUUGUCCUGUAUACAAAUGGAAAAUUCAUCAACAAAACAUCGACACUUGUUAUCUCUACAUAAUUGAUUCAUAGAUAAUAAAUGAUGAGACAAUUGAGGAACAUGUAACACAAAUUUAAGUUGAAAUUGAUGAGAUGGAGUAGUUAAAGAAGUGUUACCAAUAUGAGCAAUAGCUAAACCUUUACCACCAGUUCCAGUAACAGUUUCAGAAGAACAAUAAGGAGCAGCCUCUUGAAGAUUGGUGAUAUCUGAAGUCAUAUGAUUAGUGGCUCCAGAAUCCACUAACCAAUAUUCUUGUUGAGGUGCAGAGGGAGAAGGAUUGAUCAUUGCAGGCAUAGCAAUAGGAGAAGAUUAUGAAGAGGCAUGAGGCAUCAUAACCUGUGAUGAAUACUGGUACUGGUGUAGAGACGGAAACUGUGGUGGAGAUAGAAACUGUUGUGGAGACGGAAACUGUUGUGGAGACUGAUACUGUUGAUGAGACUAAUACUGUUGCAGAGCAAUCAUGCCACAUGAGGAAUAGUAUGGAUGUGCCUGAGACUAACCAUUAUUUCUAUCAAAACAAGUAGCUGCAACAUGUCCAACCCUGUGACAGAUUUGACAUCCAUGUGUGAAAACAAUUGAGUGCCGAAUGUCCCUUUUUGUCACAGAUCUGGAAAAUUUGCAAUAGAUUAUAGGUAGUGGAGAAGUCUGUUGUUGACCAGAUGAUGGAUAGAAAAACUGAGAUCUAGAGUUACCAAAUUGUUGGGUGGAUUGAGAACCAGAAUAAAAUUUCUUCCCUUUUCCUUUGCCUUUGUAAUUGUUGCCGUGGAAAUUAUUGUAUGAAUCAAAGUUGCCAAACUGCUGAGUGGAUUAAGAAGCAUAUGCAACAGGUAUAGUGGGAAACUAAGGUUGAGAAUACCCUUGCAUGGGCAUUGGAGACAUAGGAGACAUUUAGGGCAUGGAAGACAACUAAGACAUUGAAGAUGGGGAAAAACCCUGUAGUGAUACAGAUGAUGACCCUGGAGAGAAAGGAGAUUGAACACCAGAGGUAGAACCAUGAUCAUAUAAUGAAGUAGAACCAGACCCUUAUGCAAGCAUAGUAGACAUGAUUGGUAUCUGUUGAGCAGCUUCAUUCAAGGUGGAUUCCUCAGCUUUAAGUUGAGAUCGAAGCUCUUUCAGAUUAACCAAACUUUCUCUACCCCUGAUAACAGUUUUGAUAGUAUUAUACUCGAAAGGAAGCCAAUUGAUCCCUAGAGUCCUUAAUUCGCUGCAAAUAUCUGGUUCUUUUUUAAUAUUCUGAAGAUCAAUCUUCAGUUGAACAAUAUUAGUUCUGGUUAUACUUGCAAAUCUUUCAUGCAGAGAUUCCCACAUCUGACGAGAACUAAUACAACCAAUGAUGCAAGACAAAGCAGAUGGUGACAAAGUGGCUGUGAUAAGAGUCAUUAAAGCCUUGCCAUGUAUCUUCCAGACUUUGUAGGCAUCAGAAAUGAUAGUAUCAUGCACAACCGUACCAUCUUCAGUAUCAGUACUAUCAAACUUCUCUGGACAAGCAAUGGAACCAUCAACAAACCCCAGAAUUCCAUUACCCUCAAAGAGUAAGUCCAUUUGAAAACUCCAUGUCACGUAAUUAGAAUCAUCUAGUUUAACAGUGGCCAUGUUACCAACACUCGAAAUCAGAGAUGAAAUUGGAGAUUGUGUGAGAGUUAAUUGUAAAGAAUUCACCAUGAUGAAUCGAACAAGAAGACAACUUCAGUGUGAACACCAAUCACAAUACUCCAAUAAUCAAGAACAACAAUGCUACAAGAGACACAAUCUCAAUACUCCAAAACAAAGCACAAUUUCCCAAAAUUAGGGUUUCAGAUCCAAAAAUGCCACAGAUGCAGAAAUUAACUACCAGAUUAUUGACGAAGAUCAAGAAUGCAACCGAGACACAGAAAGAUCACACAACACAGACUAGAAACAAAUCAAUCAACAACAAUUGGAUAGAAUGUACCAGAAAUUCCCAAAUUAGAGGAACGAAAAAUAGCAACAACAAUCAAGCGCGACGACAACCAACACCAUAAUGCAGCAACCACAACCAAAAUCCACAACCGACAUCGAGAAAUCAAGCGAAAGCACCAAGAUCGUCACUCGACAGCGGUAGCCACCGGUGAAGAUACCAUGUUAAUAAACCAGAGAAAGCUUAAUGCAUAAGCAACUCUUAAGAGAUGAGAGAGAGAUUAGACAGAGAAACUAGAAAGAGAAUUGUAAUAACUGUUUUCUGUUUUUCUCUAUUGAACAAUGAUACCUUGAGAAUAAUUACAACUCAGUAUAUAUACUUUUACACCCACACAACUUCCUUAAGAUAUUACUAAUGUAAUGACACUUGUCAAAAUCAUGUCUACUCAUACACACUACCACAUCUAACUUCCUCAUUCUUUUCUCAAGUGUGGUUUAGAUCGAGCUAGAUUCUCUUUUUAUGGUCGAUCGUGUAUUAGCUUUUAUUUUUAAUAUAGAAGGUAUCUCACCAGUCACCACACAUUGAUGAAAAACUAAUCAUCCUUUCUAUAGUCUUAAUAUCAGAUGAGGCGAUAGUGUACUUUUUGCUCAAGUCAAACGGUUGUCUGCAACUAGAAGCUCCCAAAAUUAAUUCGAACACUUGUCAUGAAUGUGAACUCUCAAUGAAAACACAUUGUUAGAGCCGUUUUCCAACCGUCAGAUAAGGAACCUGUGUAGACCAAAAACAAGCAGAUACCGUGAGUUCAAGCGUCGGGGGGUGUUUCCCGACAUUGAGGCUCCGAUGCUCAAGUCGGCAAGGUAGAGGAGAAAAUGGGCGUAGUAUGUUUCUGGGGUUCGGAGUGUCUAACAUUUCUUGAGGAGUCACCAAGCGUAUUUAUAGGCCUUGUAAAGUCAAUCCACAUCAUCUGACAUUCCCCUGAGUCGUCGGGGACAUUGGAGGCCAGCAAGGGGACUAGUAUGCCACGUCAAGGAAGUAAAAUUUAUCUCUUCCACAUCAUGGGCGGAAGGCGUAGCCACACCAGUAGGCAUAGUCUAACACUUGAUGUGGGCGAGAUGGUACUGCGCAGUCUAGGUAGGACAAUCUAGCACCUGAGUAAAGACGGCUGGCUAAGUCCGUACUCCGAAGUCGCCAGGAGUGCUUUGACCACGGAUACGGGAUUGAUUACUUUUGUUCACACCGGGAACCACCUGAUUAGAUCAUUCCCCCAUGUGGCAGUACUUGGCCUUCUCUUUUCGCCGAGUUAGUCCUGCAGAGUGAGCGUGCACUGCUAUCACUCUAGGGAGGUGGUAUUUUGGUUCUUACAAAUGUCAUCGCGGUUGAUCACUAGUGGCCAGCGCUCUAGCUUAGCUUCUCGUCAGAAUGACCCGGCGACAGAAUUGCCCAGCAACACCCAAGCGACCACUCCCAAAUCGACUGCCGACCCAGUACAUCUGAUGCAUCGGGGCGGAUGCUCCAACCUACCUACCCUGUUGACGCUGCGAUGCCGAUUCGGCAGCAGUGUACAUGGAGGGAGAUGAGAACUCCCAACCGGAAAGAAGACCAAAGUGCGAAUGAGAGAAAAAUUUCAAACCUUAGAGAACUCCCAGCAAUGAGCUGUCGAGAGAGAGAGAGAGAGAGCAGCUACUUCGAUUCAAACCUUAGAGAAUGAGAGUCUGAUUAUGGCUAAGAAAAACAUUGGACGGUCAAGAUUAAAUCUCAACUGGUCCAACUGUUAUCAAUUUUUAAAAUUUAAUUUAAGUAUAUCUAUAUAUUUAUAUUUUAACUUUCAAUUCAGUUUGGAAUGAAAUCCUACUUCUGUUAAUUAUAGUAUUUAUUUAAUGGUAUAAAAUUAUUAAAUUAAUAUUUUUCUUAUUGUAUAACAGAUUACCCAUGUAUAUAGCUAGAACGACUCAUAUCUUAACAGGUGCUUAUCGGAUUACCCUAUAAUGACUCAAUUCAUUAUCUAUCGACCCGAAACCUGUUAAUUUCUUGUCGGGAUAACGGAUCGUGUCAGAAAUUGACAAGCCUAUGUAGUGUGUAUAUAUAAUUAUUGGUUGAUAGUUCAUUACUUUAAUCACAAGCCUAAGAGCAUAAACUAAAACAUGAAAAGGAAAAAUGGAAUUUCAGAAAAAUAAAGAUUCCGGACUGUUGUACCAUCUUCCGCAACAGGGCCAAUUAAAAGGCUGUAACAACAUACUGUCACAAAAGAUACAUUAAAGUAGCGCUCAUGCAAAUGCUAAAGCAAACAGGGAAGAUAAUCUAAGCAUGCAAAAUUGUGGUUCAAGAAACAGGAGUAUAUGCACUUUGAAGGUUUACAUGUUGUAGUCGUCAAGUCCCAGAUCCCUCAAUGCAUCGGUAGCGGCUUCAUUACAACUUACAUGGUUUUGCUUGGCCAUCCUUAUGUGUUUCUCCAUACCGCUAUUGAGCAGAAUAGUUCUGUGAAGUGAAAAAUUGGAUAUCACAAGAGUUGGGUAUUAUGGAAAAACCACAGCAAAAAACAAUGCCAUGCAUGAUAUGAGAAAAAAGAUGUGACACUGAAAACGAAAAGACGGGAAGAGAAACUGUAACAGGGAGUGAGAUGGAUUUAUAACAAAAAGACUUGCCUGUUGGCUGCGUUUCUUGAGACAAGAUUCCGAAUCAUGAGACAGGAAUUCCUCUGCAUUUGCUGUGCCGCAGGGAACUUCUGCAUAGCUUGGAGGGCAAGUUCUCCAGCCCCAGCUUCAAUGGCAAUGGCUGCAUUGUCUGGGGACCUUAAGGAGAGUACAGAAAUAACAGCCAUAAUCUGAACCAUAACGGAAAGAAUCAAUGCGAAGAUUGAGCAAUAGAACAAAUGUCUGUAUCAACUGCAAAUCACAGUUAGAAUUAGCGGUUUGGGAAAUCAUUUCAACAUUAUGCUUUCGCAAGGAUCUCAUCACUGAAAAUAUUUUGUUCAGCAUUCUUCCUUAUUAAAAGUCAAACAAAGACACAACAUUUUCUUGCUAACAAGAAUGUUAACUCUGCCAUAUCAUUAAAGUCAUCCAAUCAACUUACAGUGACACUAUAAAAACCUAAAAUGCAACAGUUGAAAGAUCAGAUGAAUACAGAAUGCAACAGUUGAAGUAUUCAGAAAAAUACAGCUAACAUCUAGCGAUACUACCACAUAAACUGAGAAUUUCCCUUGAACAGAAACCUCAGCCCCAUAAUGUGUUCAAAAGUAUGCAAAUUCAAUGUGAAAGAAUUGUGGUUCCUUACCUCUUGAAGGACAGAAGGGUCAUCAAAAAAUCUAGAUGACAGUUUCAUUAGCCUAUCCAUACCCUUCUUCUCAACAAUGGCAUUCUUAUUUGCGUCACUUCCUGCCAACUAAAACACAAUAAUGCAUAAGAGGCACUAAAAUGCUUCACCAGAAAGUAACACCAAUAAUUUUCUAAGUAGCACGAGUAAAUGAUAACGAAUGUAUUUACUCACACGAAUUGUGGUUCAAGAGUUCUACAUAAAACCUUAGAAGAUAGAGUUGAAAUUUAAAACAUUCAAUUUUGGAUUCAAAAGCUAAAUAGUAAGCCAAUUCACAUACAAAUGAUAAGUGUGAUUUAGACCUUGCAGAGCAAAGAACAGCAAACUUUAGCAACAGUUUUGUUGCCUUGUUCACUACUGUCAUCAAUACAUAAGAGAACUGCAUCAAUUCCACCAUUUUCGGCAAUGGAUGUACAUAUUUCAUCCUGUGGAAAAUUGAAGACCAAUAAAUAACAGAAUUAGAACAAGAAAAUAUUCAGCGUACAAAAUACUACAUUAGUUGUUAGUAUAUUUCCAUAUCAUUCAGACACAUUUUCCAGUCAUAAGUCAAACCGAUAAAAGAACAAAAAGGACAUAUAGGGUGAAAAUAAUGAAUUGAUUAACUGAUCUUAUAACAAAGUCUAACACACAAGUCAGAAUGUUUCACACUGACUGAACAUUAAAACUAUGAAGGCCAAACAGUCAUUAUUAAAACAUCAACUCUUAAUUUGUAUCCCAUCAGAUUACAAAAGUCUUACAUUGACAGCGACAGCCUUUAAAGCAAUGCUUGCUGAAACAAGACUAGAUGAGCUAAGCCCCCCACGUACUGAUUCAACCAGAGCUCCAGCAAUUCCAAUUUUGGCAAAGUUCCGCGCAUAACCAUAAACCUGAAUUUUGCAUUCACAGUCAUGUUAUAAACACUUGAAUGAAAAGGUUCCAUAAAGAAGCUUCUGGAUAUCUAAUCAUCAACUAUCGCUCAAUUCAUUUAUGUUUAUUACAGUUCUACAUUUGAGACAAAAAAAUUAAAUUGCUGGAAUUUUGCAAUAAACCUCAACUUACUUGUGAAGCCAAAACACGAUUAUCAUCAGGUGUUAAGAGAACCCGUAUAGCAUCAUACAAACUCUCAAUGCUGACUUCCCUUUUUACACUCAAUACUUGCAGAAUAAGCUCAUCAAUCUUCAACUCCAUGAAUAACUCCUUUAUGACCUCAUUACUCGUUGCAGCCGCAGCAACGACAGAAAAACCACUACUCACUAUGUCAAUAUUCUCAAAUCCAUCAGUUAGAAUACCCACCAAAAUCUUUGGUCCACCACUUGCCCUAAAUGCUUCUCGACUUUGCAAAUCUACAAAUCAACAAAAAUCCAGAAAAUUAUACACAACUCAUGCAACGUUUUAGAAAGACUUCAUGAGAAACCAAAGAAGCAAGAUAGACUGUCCAUCAUACCAUGUAGCAAUGAAGCCAAUGCCCUCAACGCCAAAAAGACAGCGCGUAAGCACCCGAUCUCAAUCUUAGAACAUAUAGAACAAACUAUUUCAACCCCUCCAUUUCUAGAAGCUAUUGCUGCAUUCCCAGAACCUUCGGCUUUACAGAGCUCGGUAAGUUUAUCAAGUAAAUCCACAAUUUCAUCGCCAAUUUGACUGUUUGGACUAGAAUUCAACUGGCUCAAUCUAUCCAAGCACUGUAACACAGGAUUGUCUUUAACACUACCCUCUCCGGGGACGCAGGUCACGAUCCCUGCCAAACACAAGAACCAAAAUUUACAUAUCAAAACGAAACAAAUGCUGCAUUCAUCAAAUGGGUUCUGUUUGGUUUCCGAGAAAAUACGGGAAUACAAAUUGCAGCAAUCUCUCUGUUUUCUCUUACUUUUUCUACAAACGAAUCGCAUUGGGGGAUUUGGGGGUGUAAGAGAGAAGAGUACCGGAGAGAUCGACGCCCUGGAGAGUUAGGGUUUGGAUGGCGUCUUCGAGGGCCUCGGUGGGGUCCAUGCCGAGAUCUUCCAUGUUCUCCUUCACCACCUCGUCGAAGGCCUCCUGAGAGAUCGUACGGGCGGCGUUCUUCGGUGGGCCCAUCUCUGCAGUCUCCGGCACCGUCCGAUCGCACUGGGUUGUGGUGGUGCCUGGGAUGGAUGAUGGUAGUAGAGUUCUGGAGAGUUGAGAGUGGAGAGAGUGGGUGGCGAAAGGCAGCGCGCCGAUUUGAAAACGAGGGAUGGUCUGAGAUUUGAUUUGAGGGUUACUCGUCUGUCAUCAAACUCUGCACACAGCCAAUUAUGUCAUCCCACCUGUCACUAAAAUUAUUGGGUGUUUAAAUAAAUAUAAUUUUUACGUUCUCAUUUUCUUCUCUUUCAUUUUUUCUCUAGCCCUGUAAUUUUAUUUGGGGUGUGAUAUUCACACACCCCAUUUUACUUCUCAUACAUCUUUUUAAUUUUCGUCUGUUAAAUCGAAUGAAUUGAAGAAGAUCAACAGACAUAAAUUAUCAAGGGGUGUGUGAGAAGUAAAAUGGGAUGUGUGAAUCACACACCCCUUUUAUUUUUGUCAAACAAUAGAUAAAUACACACAAAACAAUUUGAUUGGGACUAGGGAUGGGCAACGGUUAUGGCGGGCGGGUAACGCGGUUAUUUACCCAUAACCAUUUAUGCUCAUACCCGCAUAACCGUUUACCCGUUAGGUAAUUACCUAAUCGGUUAUACUCAUACCCAUAACCGUUUAUAAACGGUUAACCAUACCCAUAACCGCAUACUCAUUUAAUCGUAACUGUUUAAUACCCGUUUACCCAUUUACCAUUUUUAACCCGUUUAUCUUCUUUAUUUUUACCAUUACCCCAUUUUCACCCGUCUACAUGAUUUUUAACAACUUGAAAAUUAAUAAAAAAAUGUCAUAAUUUUCUUUUUUUUUUGACAAUUAAACACCGUUAUAGGUAUAUUCAUCAUACAUUUCCGUAUUUUAAUUUUUUAAGUCCUUAUACCAUUCCAAUAAUUGAAAUAAUAGUUUACUGACGAUAUUUUUAACUGUUACUAAUGAAGGUAAAUAUAAUAUUUGUUAAGUAUUAUUGGGUUACAAAAAUUGUUUAUGAGACAUUUCUGUCAAUUUCACGAUUACCCGCAAGGAAUUUAAAUUAAUUUAGCGAAUUCCUUGAUGAUGAGAUCAUUCCUGUAGCAGUGUUAUUGAGAGAAGAAUCGAUGAAUUUCUUGCUAAUUUAUUGGGUGCUAAGUAUUAUUGGAUCGAGAACAUGGUUUGUGUUAGUUUUACAUAUAUAAAAUAAAUGGGUAAACGGUUACCCGUUUAUAAUCGCAGUUAAUACUCAUAACCGUCCAUUUAAAUUUCAUGGGUAAACGGUUAUACCCAUAACCAUUUAUUUAUCUAAACGGUUACCCAUAACCGUAACCGUUUAAUUUAAAUGAACGGGUAACCGCGGUUACCCAUAACGAAUGGGUAUUUGCCCAUCCUUAAUUGGGACACCAAAAAAAAAUGAUGAAUAAGGUAAUGGAUAUGAGUAGGCUGGAGAUUGAGCAAUCAAAUGUUACAUUCUGCUUUUAGUUUAAUUGUAAAUUCGUCAUUGCAAAUGACGUUUUACUACAAUAGCAGAAAACAAUCAUAUCUAUACACUCUGGUGUUAAUGACAAAAUUAAGAGAUUAUCCAUGUCAAAUUGAGUUCGGAUGAAGAAAAAUUGAGUGAGUUUUUAGGUGGGUGGAUGCUGGAAGCUUAAUGCAGGUUACUUAAACAUGGAUUUGUUAAUAUAGGGGGAUUUUGUGUUAACCGAAGAAAAUAUUGGAAAUUUUUUAAGUAACUAGAAUACAAUGAUUAUUUUAGUAGUAUGGUUUGAAUUCGUUUGUUGGGGCUUCAAAAGAGAGAGGAUAUGUAUUUUGGCCCUGGAACCAAAAUGUAAAUUGUGUCUAAAUCAUUUCGUCAUGAAAAAGAUCUGGAUUGUGACUGAAAACCUCAUAACUAAUUGAUUUAAUCACAAGAAAGCACAUUGAUUGACUAAAAAUGUAUUAGUCACAACAUACGUUGUUACUGGAAAAUUAAACCAAAUUCUAACUUUCAGUCAUAACAUCCUUUUAGUUAUAACAUAGUAAUCAUGUGUCAUCCCUUAUAAGGACUAAUAAGCAUUUAGUCACAACCACUCUUCAUGAUUAAAAAAUCUUAGUGAUAACAACUAUAACUAAAACCCUAUUAGUAACAACUAACGACUUUAACUAAAGUCUAUUGAUCACAACUUGAAGGAGUAGUGUUUAAUCGAGAGCCGGGGUUCGCAACUAUCUAAAGUAAGAAACAUGCCACAACAAGCAGAAGUAGUAAAUUGAUAAAAACUCCUUCACAUAUACAAUUAAUUGAAUAGCCAUGGCAUUAAAAUCAAUCGUUCACCUUGUAAUUUAUAAGAACAAGCACAUCCAGUAGAACAAAGAUAACGAAUAUUAGCCACUUAGUACUACGGUAUAGUGGUAUUUAUCUUCACUUUUAAGUGAAAUGUAUUAAAUUCAAUUAUAACCAAAAAUGAAUUUGAGCUGAUGUGGUAGAUAAAUGGGCCUCAUAAGUCAUUUUUUUUCUUCUUACAAAUGGUCCUUGAAAUUGACCUAGGACAUCAAAACUGUUCCUGAAAUUGACCCACGACAUCAAAAUGGUCUCUGAGUGGUAUUCCUCUUCACUUUUAAGUGAAAUGUAUUAAAUUCAAUUAUAGCCAAAAACGAAUUUGAGCUGAUGUGGUAAAUGGGCCUCAUAAGUCACUUUUUUUCUUCUUACAAAUGGUCCUGGAAAUUGACCUAGGACAUCAAAACUGUUCCUGAAAUUGACCCACGACAUCAAAAUGGUCUCUGAAAUUGAAAAUUGAUCAAUGUAGUCUUGCAAGUGUCUUAAAUCAAUGUAGUCCUUCAGUCACAAUUUUGUCAAAAAAUUUGUAUGUGUUGAUGUGACACAUAAACGAGUCAUACAAAUCUAAUUAAAUUUAAAAAAUUACAAAUAUACUUAAUAAUUUAAUAGUUAAUAAAAAAGUUGUCAACCCAAAAACCCAGUCCUGCAAUCACCUCUGAUCCCAAUCCACAUUUCUCUACCUCAUUAACUAUCUAUUCUCUAAAAAAAAAAUCUCAAUAUACCCAUCUUUACACACUUCGACACAUUUCACCGAAUUGAACCUGGAUCGAGAUCACCUUUAGUGACGGCUUGACCAAUUGGCAACGACUUCUAGGACAUCACCAUUAACAUUUAGGUGAUCAACAUCCUUACAACCUUAAUCUUAGAGAGCUUGUUCGGCGUUUCCCUGGUGGUAUGAUGAUGCAAAGAACAGCGAGGUCUGCCUUAAGAUAAUGAGGUUAUACCCGAGGUGCGUCUAUUGUUAGUUGAAAACUAUUUCCACACUCUCUCUUACCUUUGAGAAUUUAUGGAAGGGAUCUCUCUUCGGAGUAAGCCUUACUAUAAGAAACAAAGAUUUCAUUGUGCAAAAAGGUAUUUAGACAACUAUUUUAAUUAAUUAUUAAACCCACAUUAGCACAUAACAAAUUUUUUUACAAAAUUGUGCGAAAAUAUCAUAUUGAUUUGCGACAUCUAUUUUCAAGGAUUACAUUGAUCAAUUUUUAGUUUUAGGGACCAUCUUGAUAGUUUGGCUCAAUUUUAGGGACCAUCUUGAUAGUGUGGCUCAAUUUUAGGGACCAUCUUGUUGGUGUGGGUCAAUUUCAGGGACCAUUUGUGAUAAAAACCCGUAAAUCUUUUGGGGUCCAUUUAUGUGUCGCAUCAGCACUAAACUGAAUUUUUAACAUAAUUGUGACGGAAGAACCACAUUGAUUUGUGACACCUAUUUUUAGGAACUAUAUUGAUUGAUUUUUAAUUUCAGGGACCAUCUUAAUGGUGAGGGUCAAUUUCAAGAACUAUUUGUAAUAAAAACCCAUGUUAUAAUGCACACAUGAUAAAACAAGUUGAUGUCCGCGAUCCUUUUUUUUUGCCUUUUGAAGGUCAGUUUGACUAAACAAGUAAUGUUCAAAAUUCUGAUGCAACUUGUUGUUUCGUUGGUUGUUUUUAAACCUGACAUUCGUGUCGUGUUUCUCGUGUUCGUGUCAUUUUCGUGUCAUAUACGAUAACUUAACCGGUCAUGUCAUGUAACACUCAUUAAAGUAAACGGGUAAUAUGACUUGACCUGAAAUCGACCCGCUAAUAUUUUCAGGUAAUAUGACCUGACCUAUUACCCGUUAAGAAAAAUAUAUUUUAAAUCAAUAAAUAAUGAAAAUGAAAAACAUAAUUUGACCCAAAAAAAUGUAAAACAUAAUAUUAAAUUAGUAUAUACAUACUAAAUUUCGGAGUUGACCCUUUCACGAAAGUUGUAAAGCUUGUCAUUACAAGUGAUAUUAUAUAUAUAUAUAUAUAUUACAUUUUUCACGCUUCUAAAAUAAUUAUUAUUAAUUUUAUUAAUUUUGUACUCAAAUAAAAAACACUAUUCAUGAGAUUUGGAGGGUUUUAAAAAUCUAAACGACCAUGUAACCAUCGUCUAAGCGUAGAGGAUGCAAUUACGAGCGUUUAUAUAUGCUUUCACAUUUUUUUGACUUAUACAUUAAUGAUUAUGAAUUUUAUUUAUUUUGAACUCCCUUAAAAAUACUAUUUAUGAGGGUUUGUAUGGUUUUAAAAUCAAACGAUAAUGUACCCAACCUCAAAACGUAGAUGAUGCGAUUACGAGCAUUUGCAUAUUUUUUUCACAUUAUUUUACACUUGUAAAUUAAUUAUUAUAAUUUUUUUAAUGUGUUUGGUAUUUUUUAAUUGCUUGAUAUUUUUAUUUUUAAUGUGUUUUUUAAUUUUUUUAAUAUCACUAUUUGCCUACAAUAUACUAUAACAAUAAAUAAAUAAAUAAAUAAAACUUAAAAUUUUAAAAUUUAUUUAGAAUAAUAAUACAAUAAUAAUUAAUAAACAAUAUAUAUGUAUCCAUUUAUCUAUUGACACACCCCGUCCCGAAGGAGGGCAUGCUGGCCGUCACGUGAGAGUAACAUAACCAUUUAAACAGUUCGAAAGCUUUAAAGAUACAAUUACUAAGAUGUAACACCCGGGGGUGAGUCCUACUUUUGUGAAUUCUGUCAGAACACCGUGGGAAUCCUCGUGAGCCACCAACACUGCUAACUAAAACCUGGAGGGGCGCAAAACAAGAUUGAGUGGGUCAGUAAAACAACGCUUUUAAAAAAUAUUUCAGUUAAUAACAUUUCUAACCCCUCGCUGUAAAACAUGUAUACUUUCCCAGAAAAAUAGUAUAUAAUAUGCAUAUAAAUCUUCAAAUAUCUCAAUUGUAUUUUAUAGUAAGUUUUUUUAGUAGUUUAAAAAAUUAAAAUCAUCAAAAUAAUUUUUUCCUUAUUGUGUCGAAACAGGUUACCCGCAUCACUCUCGUGUAAGCCUGUUAAGGACCCGUUAUUAACGAGUUCUUAUCAUGUGGCCCGGUAACAACCCAAUUAGUUAUCGUGUUGACCUGAAAUCCAUAAUUUUUGUGUCAUUUUCAUGCCGUGUAAGAAAUUGUCAGGUCUGGUUGUUUUAUGCGCAAAGUCUUUAUUGUAGCAAUCUUUCUUUUGUAGUUCCCCUUCGAAGUCGGCAUUGCUUGUAUGCAAAGAGUGUUCCCCAGUUUUGUUGGCAGUUUUGUGCGCAUAUUCUCCCAUGCUGUUAUGAAGUGAUUGAAUUUUUAGUUGAUGGGAUUGAAGGUCUUAUGGAUUUGGUAGCUAUUAAAUGGGCCAAAUUGACCUGGUCUUUUCUUUGUUUUUUUUGUUUUGGAGUCCUUUUUGUAUGAAAAGCCCUUAAAUUUAAUCCAAAAUGCUCAUUUGAAGUUUGUACAUUUUAUUAAGAUGUUAAUGAAACCGCUAUUGUUUCACCUCAAAACUUCAUCUCAGCAUGUAAAGAGAUGGUUCCUUAUAUGUAGAAAGAUUCCUCCUAGUUAUGCUAUGAUUUUGUAUAUAAUUUGUGGAUGUCAUCAGUAUGUCAACAUACGUAUGACAUAACCAUGAUGAAAGUUUCCACAACUUUUAGGCGGCAAUUCUUACUAGUUUCCCCCACUCGAGUAGUUCGGUUAAAAUCGCAAUGCCCCAAAAUUUGCAUUGACAAUUUGACAUUGAUUUUUCUAUUUCAAACAGCUUUCAAACUCAAAAGAAAAUGGUUGACCCUGUUUUCGGUUGAGAGGAGAGUAUCCGUCCAAUCUGAAUCGACCCAUUGACUCCCUUAUCAAUCUUUUUGGAAGGGUAUCGAUCUUUGUUGCUUCAUUUUUUUGGGAGGAAUUAAUGUUUAUGAAUUUGUUAGGUGUUCGCUUCCAUAUUAUUAAUUCAUAAGUUCAUUAGGAAACUAGAGAAGCCACGUACUUAACGAAUCAAACUUUAUAUUUUUGGCUUUUUUUAUCAUAAACGGACUUUGAAUUUGACUCACAUUGUUAAAAUUGUCACUGAAAUUGAAAAUAAUCAAUAUAGUCCCUGAAAAUAGGUGUUACAAAUUAAUAUGGUCAUUUUGUCACAAUUAUGUCAAAGUUCUGUUAUGUAUUGGUGUAGCACAUAAAUACCUUGAAAUUGAAAAUCGAUCAAUAUAGUCCCUAAAAAUUGUGUCGCAAAUCAAUUUAGUCAUUCCGUCACAAUUAUGUCAAAAAUAAUAUUAUGUGAUGAUCUGAGUAAUAAUGAAUUUAAAAAUUUGUCCAAAUACCUUUUUGCACAGUGAGAUUAUCUCAAGGCAGAGCUCGUUGUUCUCCGUGUCACCAAGAUCAUUGGAGGAGCUCUAGGUUUUGAGACUAUUGAUCGCCUAAAUGUUGAUGGUGCUGUCACAAAAGUCGUAGCCAAUCCAAGCCGUCACUGAAGGUGGUCUUGAUCCUGGUGCAAUUGGAUGAAAGGUGUAACGAUGGGUGUCUUAAGAAUUUAUUUUUUCAGAGAAACGAAGGUGAAGGCUACCAUAGAUGGAGGUAGAUGAGUGUGAGUUGGGAUAGGAGGUGAUAACUUUUUUAAUUAAUUAUUAAAUUAUUAAAUCUAUUUCUAAUUUAUUUUUAAUUUAAUUAGACUUGCUGAACCCAUUUUUGUGCCACAUAGAACAUAACAAUUUUUUUUACAAAAUUGCGAAGGAAGGACCAUUAUGAUGUGAGACACCUAUUUCUAAGGCUUCAUUGAUUAAUUUUCAAUUUCAGGGACCAUCUUGAUGGUGUAGAUCAAUUUUAGGGGCAUUUAUGAUAAUAAUUUAUUAUUAUAAUAUAUAGAAACCAAAGAAAAAUAACUAACCGACCACUAGGUGGAUUUUGAGAUCAAUUUGAAACAUGUUGAAAAAUUACUAUUUUAUUCUUAUUAUAUUUAAUUGUUUUGUUUUGAAACUCUAAUCGGAAGAAGAGUAUGAUAUUGUGAAGCUUUUAGGGUGUUUAACUUAAUAUAUAGUGAAGCACGGGUGUUAACUUAAUAUAUAUAGAAAUUCAAUUUCAUAUUUUGCAUUCACUUUCUGUUUUUCUAAUUUUUCUCACUUAUUCAACCAUUUACUAACUAGUGCUGUUAUUUCCACUCCAGUGUCUUAUUUCUUCACCCACUUUUUAAUGAAAAUUUUAAUUACAAGUUGACUCAUUUGUAAAAUGAUCAAUAAAGACAAAGAUAGCCUUCUAUUCACAAACAAUUAUCUACCCUUAAACCCUAACUCACCUAAUAAAAUCCCAGUGCAACUUUAGCUUGAAAUCGUUUCGAUUCCGCACAUUUUCUACAUUUUUGCAUAUUAAUUCUCCUAAAAAUCUUGAAGACGAAGAUGAACCCAAAAACCAGGUAACCAUAGUUUGAUUCUUCUCUGCUUUCUCCGGCCACUGUGCGGUUCAAAUUUAAUGUUUUUGUUGUGGUUGGAUGUUUCAACAAUGGAUAUCAGCAUGAAUUGAUAUGUAAUGUGGACUUGCUGCAUAUGUAUAGAGAUGCAAAUAUUUCUAUACACAAGUGUGGAAGAAGAACUGAGGAAGGGUAGUCUUCUGUAAAGUGUAUUGAGUUUGAUUAGUAGAAAAAAAAAAUGGUGCAAAGUCUAUCACUGAGUGCUCUAAAAUUAUUUCACCACUGGUGCAAUAAUUUUAGAGACAAGCUCAGAGUGGAGAGAGAGUGCUAAUGAGAAUAUUUUAGGAAUAAAAGUGGGUGAGAAAAUAGCAUUUUAAUUUUGUAACUUUUUAUGGUGGGUGGGAUUAUAAUAUGAGCAGAGAAAUAAGACAAUGGAGUGGGUCUAGUAGCUCUCUUAAUAACUUCCUCCUAAGUACAUGCAUAGAGGAGUGGAGGUUGCUAGUAAUACCACCGAUACGCUUGAUAUAGACAGCUUUAGGUCCCUUAUAUAGAGAGACAAAAUCAGAAGGAAGCACAUCACAUACGAGUCCUCAAUUUGUUGCUAAUACUUUUGUUAAAACUGGAGGCUUAGCAAACUUAUGUUUAGCCUAGUUAGUUAAGAGUAGUGUGAUCUCCCUUUUACACCCAAAUUCAAAUUCUCUUUCCGUAGUUCAGACAAGAUUAAUUCAAAUACCACUCAAAUCAAUAAGAAAAACAAUAUGGAUAUUUCUAAUCCACAUCACAAUUAAUUUGAUUCUUUAACUCUGGUGAUUAGGAAACACAAAUCUCAUUCUUGACAUAGCAAAGACAUUAAGCAUG
RNAcentral lists this long non-coding RNA (22908 nucleotides) under Malus domestica (apple). Its description in RNAcentral is "long non-coding RNA (MDOM_LNC009191)". Lineage: Eukaryota; Viridiplantae; Streptophyta; Magnoliopsida; Rosales; Rosaceae. The record is from RNAcentral.